This 301-nucleotide ribosomal RNA is filed under the name uncultured bacterium. Its description in RNAcentral is "partial 16S ribosomal RNA". It matches the Rfam family "Bacterial small subunit ribosomal RNA", at positions 510 to 808 of the family's 1533-position model. The record is from RNAcentral.
AGCCGCCGCGGGAAUACGUAGGUGGCAAGCGUUGUCCGGAAUUAUUGGGCGUAAAGGGCUCGCAGGCGGUUUCUUAAGUCUGAUGCGAAAGCCCCCGGCUCAACCGGGGAGGGUCAUUGGAAACUGGGAAACUUGAGUGCAGAAGAGGAGAGUGGAAUUCCACGUGUAGCGGUGAAAUGCGUAGAGAUGUGGAGGAACACCAGUGGCGAAGGCGACUCUCUGGUCUGUAACUGACGCUGAGGAGCGAAAGCGUGGGGAGCGAACAGGAUUAGAUACCCCAGUAGUCCCUGUCUCUUAUACC